GACGAACGCUGGCGGCGUGCCUAAUACAUGCAAGUCGAGCGAGUGAAACUAACUUAUCCCUCCGGGUUGACGUUAGUGGAUCUAGCGGCGGACUGGUGAGUAACACGUGGGCAACCUGCCUGUAAGACUGGGAUAACUCGCGGACACGCGAGCUAAUACCGGAUGAUACUUUGAACUGCAUGGUUCGAAGAUGAAAGGCGGCGCAAGCUGUCACUUACAGAUGGGCUCGCGUCGCAUUAGCUAGUUGGUGAGGUAACGGCUCACCAAGGCGACGAGGCGUAGCCGAACUGAGAGGGUGAUAGGCCACACUAGGACUGAGACACGGACAAGACUCCUACGGGAGGCAGCAGUAGGGAAUCUUCCGCAAUGGACGAAAGUCUGACGGAGCAACGGCGCGUGAGUGAUGAAGGUGUUCGGAUCGUAAAACUCUGUUGUUAGGGAAGAACAAGUACAGGAGUAACUGCUGGUACCUUGACGGUACCUAAUCAGAAAGCCCCGGCUAACUACGUG
This 510-nucleotide ribosomal RNA is filed under the name uncultured bacterium. RNAcentral describes it as "partial 16S ribosomal RNA". It matches the Rfam family "Bacterial small subunit ribosomal RNA", at positions 28 to 507 of the family's 1533-position model. The record is from RNAcentral.